This 314-nucleotide long non-coding RNA is filed under the name Homo sapiens (human). RNAcentral describes it as "non-protein coding lnc-DDX51-4:1". Lineage: Eukaryota; Metazoa; Chordata; Mammalia; Primates; Hominidae. The record is from RNAcentral.
CAUCGGUCCUGUGGAACACUGCACAGAGAUGAGGAAAUCAAGGCGGAGAAAAGUUGGAGAAUGUGUCCAAAGUCACACCGCCGGCAGCCAAAAGAGCCCGGGGGCUCACUCACAGAAGACACAGCCAACAGCGAUUGCUCUGGGAGAGAGGACCGGGGAAAAGUUAGUGCUGUUCACCGUACACGUUGCGCGCUAGUUGGAAUGGCUUUCACCACGUGCAAGCACUGCUUUUGCAAAUGCAUGAUUCUAAACAAUGCUCACCAACCCAGCCUUCAGUACAGUCCUAAAGUAACAGCCCAGAAACACACACUUCA